RNAcentral lists this ribosomal RNA (253 nucleotides) under uncultured bacterium. RNAcentral's name for it is "partial 16S ribosomal RNA". It matches the Rfam family "Bacterial small subunit ribosomal RNA", at positions 524 to 776 of the family's 1533-position model. The record is from RNAcentral.
GACGUAGGGCGCGAGCGUUGUCUGGAUUUAUUGGGCGUAAAGAGCUCGUAGGCGGCUUGUCGCGUCGUCCGUGAAAACCCAUGGCUCAACUGUGGGCUUGCGGUCGAUACGGGCAGGCUGGAGUUCGGUAGGGGAGACUGGAAUUCCUGGUGUAGCGGUGAAAUGCGCAGAUAUCAGGAGGAACACCGGUGGCGAAGGCGGGUCUCUGGGCCGAUACUGACGCUGAGGAGCGAAAGCGUGGGGAGCGAACAGG